RNAcentral lists this ribosomal RNA (292 nucleotides) under uncultured Verrucomicrobiota bacterium. Its description in RNAcentral is "uncultured Verrucomicrobia bacterium partial 16S ribosomal RNA". Lineage: Bacteria; Pseudomonadati; Verrucomicrobiota. The record is from RNAcentral.
GGACUACCAGGGUAUCUAAUCCCGUUUGCUCCCCUAGCCUUCGUGCCUCAGUGUCAGGAACUGUCCAGAGAUCCGCCUUCGCCACUGGUCUUCCUCAUGAUAUCUACGCAUUUCACUGCUACACCAUGAAUUCCAAUCUCCUCUCCAGUCCUCUAGCAAAACAGUAUCGAGUGCAGUUUCGGGGUUAAGCCCCGAGAUUUCACACCCGACUUAUUCUACCACCUACGCACCCUUUACGCCCAAUGAAUCCGAACAACGCUUGAGACCUCUGUAUUACCGCGGCUGCUGGCAC